CAGGAAGAAAAAUAUGGCUCAGAGACCCUUUAAGUGCACGCAGACAUGCCAAGAACAGUAUCUAAGAAAUGCAACAUCACAUACAAUAUGAUAAAGUGUUUGCGGCAGUUUCUCAAAUGCAAAGGAGCUAUGUGCAUCACAGAGAGGUUUGCAUCAAGUGGUUUGACAAAGUCAAAUUCA
RNAcentral lists this long non-coding RNA (180 nucleotides) under Cyanistes caeruleus (blue tit). RNAcentral's name for it is "lncRNA (ENSCCEG00000002542.1)". Lineage: Eukaryota; Metazoa; Chordata; Aves; Passeriformes; Paridae. The record is from RNAcentral.